CCUACGGGAGGCUGCAGUGAGGAAUAUUGGUCAAUGGCCGGAAGGCUGAACCAGCCAAGCCGCGUGAAGGACGAAGGUGCCAAGCAUUGUAAACUUCUUUUGUCAAGGGACAAAAUCAGGCUCGAGAGCCUGACCGAGGGUACUUGAAGAAAAAGCAUCGGCUAACUCCGUGCCAGCAGCCGCGGUAAUCCGGAGGAUGCGAGCGUUAUCCGGAUUUACUGGGUGGAAAGGGGGCGCAGACGGCGAUGCAAGCCAGGAUGGCAAGCCCUGGGCCCAACCCCGGGACUGCUCUUGGAACUGCGUGGCUGUAGUGCAGGAGUGUCAGGCGGAAUUCCUGGUGUAGCGGUGAAAUGCGUCGAUAUCAGGAGGAACACCCGUGGCGACGGCGGCCUGCUGGACUGCAACUGACGUUGAGGCCCGCAAGCGUGGGGAGCAAACAGGAUUAGAUACCCUUGUAGUC
Molecule: ribosomal RNA, 460 nt
Filed under: uncultured bacterium
Lineage: Bacteria
Description: partial 16S ribosomal RNA
Rfam family: Bacterial small subunit ribosomal RNA
Source: RNAcentral